AUAUUGCUUUUCUUUUGGUCUAGGCUGAUAGAAAUAGUGUGAAAUUGAAUAAUGCAUUCUACAAACUCCUGAAUUAGAACUUUUACUAUAAACUGGGAAAAUCCAAGUCUAUAAAAAAUUUCAGAAAUUUAAAGCUAGUAGUCAAUCAGGAAGGGGUUAGAGGUUGCUAUUAUAAAUUAAGUACUUUCAUAAAGGGAAAAGGAAAAUGUAAUUUUAUGAUGUAUUAGGCAGGAUGUCAUAAUAGGUAAGGCAUUAUUAGUAUUGUAAAGGAUGUGCUUUUUCAUGAGUUCCUGGUGUAUUAUGUGUGGUUCUAGUCAUAUAUUCAAAGAAGAUACUAAAAUGAAGUCUAAAGAUCAGGAAGAAACUAUGGUAAUUGGGGCAUGGAAAAUGUGUCUACAGAAGAGAGAUUAAAAAAAAAAAAAGAAUACAUAGCCAAAUAGAUAUUGAAAGGACAUAUGAGUCCUUACAAAUUCAUUUUCAGUUAAAUGCUAAAAGAAAACCUCAAAAACCUAAACAAAACAGAAUGUAUUUGAACUGAAGAGGGAUGUUGACAUGCCAUCAAAUGCAUAUGUGUUGGUUUUAAAACCUAGGAAAGGGAAGAAGUUUACAGUCUGUCUGGGACUGGAAAGGUCUUCCAAAUAGGUAAUCAGGCCAACAAAGUUUUUUUUUUAAAUAGAACUUGAAAAAAAAAACCUUUGUAAUUGAAUGGGACAGUUCGUGUUAGAAAAGGUACAUUUGUGGCAAGUUGGAAAGGAAAGGGCUUUUUGAAGAAGUUGGAAUAUGUUUUUUCUACACUUACACUGUAUCUCUUCUCUGCCUGAGGGCUUACUGCAGGCUCUCAGGUCAGGUAGGAUGUUUUCUCCCUUUAUUGUAUAAUUUAGGUUCUGAGUUAUGUUAAUUUCUUUCUUUCUUUUGUUCUGCUUUGUAUAGGGGACAUGUAUCUCCUAGAACAUUCUGCAGAGAAGUUCUCACAUAUUUCCUCCUGUUGAGGGGGUCUCCACAGACCAUUGGCAGUGCCCUUUAUUCUCUUCUUCCUCCCUUUUUUCUUUUUUCCCGAGGAAGAUUUGAGGUUUGGCUUUUGUUCUUUACUGCAAAUUAAAGAAUUAAAGGUUUUGAAUCAGUGGGUAGUACCAUCUGGACCAAAAGUUCUGUAGAUCUGGUUUUUUUUCAACUAAAUAUUAAGUGUAUUGUAACUCUCAAUUGUGAGAAUGUAGAAAUGUAGAUAGUCCUUUUCAGCAAUAUGCUUCUGUUACUACUUAUGAAAAUCAAAUUCAUCUCAGUUCCAUUACCUCAAAAAUACUAGCUAAAUUUCCAGCAUUUUCAGUAGGACAUGGCAUGGAUUAAGUGGCAUACUGCAAAAAAAAUCUCUGAAAUUUCCUAAACUAUUCUGUCAUUAUACAAUUGCUCUGACUUUUCAGUUUCUCUUAUCUCCUUGCUAUGCUUAGGAUUAUCAAAUAAUUAAACUUAUUUCAUGUCAAAUAUGUCUAAUGUAAGGUACCUAAUCUAUCCAUAAUAACUGAAAUAAAGGAUUUUGUUUUCUUCUGUAUAUGAGCACUUCCUCUGGGAUAGCUUCUUAGUUUUUCUGGUGGAAGUUGUAGAGUAGGAAAAGAGGUUUAUUUAUAUCCUUGCAUAGAGGGGUAACCUUAAGAUAUAAAUCUAUUAGGCUGUUAUUUUCUUUAUGCUUUGAUUUUGUUACACUAAGAAAAACAUAUUUACCAGGAGGAACUCGGAGAAAUAUCAGAUGUUUUCUGCCUUAAUGCUUAAAACACUCAAGAGAAGGAGCAGGCUUAAAAUUUCUACACCACAUUAGUUAGCAAAAAUUCAAACAUGAUUAGUGUACUCUCCCUCAAACACAGAACCUGACCUGUCCCACCCUUGUUCACUUUGGAGAAGUUGAGCAUCCCAUGAGAAUUUCUAAUGAUCUGUUCCUCACAAGUGACAAAACCAGGGAAAGUCAGAAAUUGAAAAUUGGGGAUUAUGUGGAAAUUAGGCUUCCAAGUGAUUCAGUAAUAUUAAUAUCAUUCCUGAUGUCUUUGAAAAAGAUUGCUGCAAGACAUACAGCAAGAAAUGUUGAUCCUUGAGGCACAUGAAUGUGCCCAGCAAGAACUUCAUCAGUCUUAAUGGUUUCUGAAUACUUUAUCUAGGCUCUGUAAAUGAUAGAUUAUUUUGCAAUGUUAUAGGAAAUAUUCUUCAUUCAUUCAGCUGGUAUCAGCAGGAAAUCCAAGCAUAUUAAUGAAUAAUUAAUGGAAAUGAAGCAGUUGGAACAGGUGAAUGUUUGGCAAUAAACUAUUAAAGAAACCUGGGAUCAACAGGAAUUAAAGUAAAAAGCAGAAUACCAACCCAAGAACCUGCACAAUGGGUAAAUUCACACUGUUUUUCUGCAACAAUGGUAACAAAAU
This is a long non-coding RNA of Melozone crissalis (California towhee), 2399 nucleotides long. RefSeq lists it as uncharacterized. The record is from RefSeq and is a predicted model, not a curated record. Lineage: Eukaryota; Metazoa; Chordata; Aves; Passeriformes; Passerellidae. The transcript is spliced from 4 exons.